CCUACGGGAGGCAGCAGUGGGGAAUAUUGCACAAUGGGCGCAAGCCUGAUGCAGCGACGCCGCGUGAGGGAUGACGGCCUUCGGGUUGUAAACCUCUUUCAGUAGGGAAGAAGCGAAAGUGACGGUACCUGCAGAAGAAGCGCCGGCUAACUACGUGCCAGCAGCCGCGGUAAUACGUAGGGCGCAAGCGUUAUCCGGAAUUAUUGGGCGUAAAGAGCUCGUAGGCGGUUUGUCGCGUCUGCCGUGAAAGUCCGGGGCUCAACUCCGGAUCUGCGGUGGGUACGGGCAGACUAGAGUGAUGUAGGGGAGACUGGAAUUCCUGGUGUAGCGGUGAAAUGCGCAGAUAUCAGGAGGAACACCGAUGGCGAAGGCAGGUCUCUGGGCAUUAACUGACGCUGAGGAGCGAAAGCAUGGGGAGCGAACAGGAUUAGAUACCCUGGUAGUCCAUGCCGUAAACGUUGGGCACUAGGUGUGGGGGACAUUCCACGUUUUCCGCGCCGUAGCUAACGCAUUAAGUGCCCCGCCUGGGGNGACGGCGCGAGCGUAACUAACUAGAGUGACGGCGNGAGACGUGCCGACGACGACGACGAGGGAGGAGG
This 599-nucleotide ribosomal RNA is filed under the name uncultured bacterium. RNAcentral's name for it is "bacterial SSU rRNA". The stretch from base 1 to 525 matches the Rfam family "Bacterial small subunit ribosomal RNA", at positions 338 to 873 of the family's 1533-position model. The record is from RNAcentral.